CUUGUCGUAUGUACAUUAUCUAAAAAGGAAAAAAAAAGAUCUUUUAUACCCCAGAAAUGUCUGUUUUGAAUUUAAGAAAUUAUUGAAAAAUAUUUAUUCACUCCCAAACAGUUUUCUCUCUUUAUUGUCAGAAAGCAUGUACUAGCAUGGCAUAGAAAUAAAGACCAUUAGACAUUGAUCGGCUGCCUGGUUUGAGCAUGUGCUUCUGUUGUUACACGUGGUCCUGCAAUAAGACUUUUUCUUUUCAUUAGACUCCCUCUUCACUGAGAUGGCUCGCUUGCGCUCUUGCAUCUAACCAAGAUUCAGUUCCCAGGGCUGACUUACUACUGCCUACAGCUUCCUUUACUGUGCAUCUGACACCCUCUUCUGGCCUCCACAGGGCAUGCCACUGUGCCAACCCUGAGGCCUUUUCUGCACCAGGAUGACAGGACUACACUGUGGUUGGGGACAACUCAUAGCAUGGCUUUGGUUUGAUUGACAUUAUCACAGAUUACCGGAGGAUUCAUAUGGUGCAGAGGAUGCCAACACUGGAGAAUCUGCACAGCUGUGUCCCCAAGCCUCCAACAUGAUGAGAGUGUGGAAAACCAACCAACCAACCAGCCAACCAACCGACCGACCAACCAACCAACCAAAAUGUGGCAACAGUAAAAUUAAAAUCAAGCACUCUAAGAUACGAUUCUACGUGCUCAAUGAGGAGCUGGCUAUUCUGCUGACCAAAUGAGAUAGACUAAGUAUGAAGGAACCUGCUCUCUGGUAAUUGGGUACAGCAAAGAACCACACUGGACAGGAGUUCUUGGCUUGGCCAGCCACCACUGGACCCCCAGGGUAAUGCUCGUGAAAGAAUAAGCACUACUGGCCAGUAACUGACUGAGAGCAAGCUGCUGCUUCAUCGCUUAUCACCACUGGACUUGCCCAGUGCUGUGGAGCCUGUGUAUAUGGACCAUGGGGCCCACAAGAUGGUAUUGGAUUUUGCUGAACUGCAAGUACAAUUACAGAUGAUUGGAAGCCACUAUGAAGGUGCUAGGAAUUGAACUUACAUCCUCAAGAAGAGCAGCAAGUACUCUUAACCACUGAGCCAACUCUCCAGUCUAAUAAAUAAAAUCUUUGAGGCCCCUAGGAAGGAAACUCUUGCCAUGGACUUGAUGCCAUCGUGCAGGCCUGGGCUGGGAAGCAAUGCCCGGUGGGAUGAGAGAUGGAAGGCAGGAUGCAGGUGUCAUCUCUGCUCAGGAACCAUAGAAACUCAAGAGACACAGUGAAAAAUCAUCAGACCAAAUACCAGACAGAUUCUGCUUAUAAUAGCAUAGCUCUAUUUGUCUGUUAGCUCCUCUUUCUUUUCCUUUGUAAUAUAUACACUGCAAAAACUCUGAAUACUGUCUUCAACCAUAGCGGCAGCCAUGCAGAAAAUAUAAGGGAAACCCACAGGAAAAAAAAAGAAAGAAAACCACAUAAUAAAGCUGAAAUCAAUUCAAUACAAAAUGUACCACAUAUCCACAUGGAGAUACAGGUCAGCUGGCCUGAAGCAUACUGAAGAAUAGCUCAUGAAAUGCAGAGAUGUGAGGUGCAUAACAGGAAGAGUCAAUAUUGCAAAGAUACCAAUUAUCCUAAUAUAAUUCAUACUUUCAGUACAAUACCAGCCAGCCAGUCAGUGGGAUUCUAGAAAAGAAAUGCAGGAGGCUUAGGGCAUGAAUUACGAGAACAGGGAAGGCCUGGCAGUAAUCAAGACAGUGAUGGGAGGAGCCAUCCCCAGAUGAUGUCAUUUGCACAUCUGGGCUCUCUACCCAUAGAGCUGUGCUGGCCUGCACAUCAACUCUAUGAGGUGAGCAUUAACCCUUUCAGGGUAGUGCCAUGGAAGGGACAAGUGAAGCCUCUUGCUGGAGUUCUACAGUGGGAGUGAUGGAGCUGGAAGUGGAACCGAGCAGUGUACCUCAGCACCUGUAGUACAUAACAGGGAGCCACACAAGACAAACAGAAGGAUGUAGAGAGUUCCAAACAGAUUCACAUUUAUAUGCAAACUUUGAUUUUUGUUAAAGAUGGCUUUUUUCUUAAAUGUGGGAAAUACAUCUCUGUCAAAAUGAUAUUAAUAACUAUUUAUUUUGAAAUAAUUCUAAUAAAGUAACAUUCCUAUAGAAGCUUUCUAUAAUUCUUACAAUAAAUGGCCUGGUAUUCAUUUGCUUAAAACUACAUGAAUUUGCUAUCUUAUAGUUAGAAUUUGCUAUCUUAUAGGUUCGAAAUCUGAGGGGAUCAACUGGGGAUAUGGGUAUCACAAGGGCAAAAAUCUGUCCCAAGGUCCUAUUUGGAACCUCUGAAAAGAACUCUUCCUUGCCCAUGUGUGGUUUCGGGCAAGUUCAGUUCCUUACAGGUAUGUUUCCUUGCUGGCUGUCAGCUGGCACUACCCUGAAAGGGUUAAUGUUCACCUCAUAGAGUUGAUGUGCAGGCCAGCUCAGCUCUAUGAUUAGAGAGCCCAGAUGCCUUUGGUCCUCAUUGGCACGCAUUGCUCAUGAGCUGUUCCCUCUGUCUCUGUUGUGCUUGGUCUUUCUCAACAUUCUGACCUGCUGUCCUAUUGCCCUGCUCUGCCUCCUGCCAUGACCUUCCUAUGGCCCUGUUCAUCGUUUCUGCCAGAGGAAGUUCUCUGCCCACUGUAGCCUUCUGUUUGGAUUGGCAAAGAACUUGGGAUAAUCUCUAAGGUUAUCUUGGUCACACUUAUGAACUCUUUGUAUGUGUGUGUGUGUUUAAUCAUUCAGGGAUUAGAGUAUAAUCUCCACUAGAAGUCAUUCUGUCUGUCACAACUUUAUGCCACAGGAUCUAUAGUAAACAGUAAAUGUACCACACAGAACUCUGUACUUCAUUACCUGGAUCAGGAGAGCUUUCCUAAAUAAAUCAUCUAGACAGUCAUCUAGAGAAAGACGGUGAGCUGACCCUUGUGUCACAGCCGCAGCUACUCAGCAGGCUCAGGAGGAGGCAGGGGGAUGGCACACAUAAGGUGAGCCUCAAUCACAGUAAGCAGGGCUAGCCUGGGCAACUUAGCAAGACCCUUUUCAGAUGAAAGGAGGGAGGAUGGGAAUAAGCUCAGUGGAAGAGUGUUGAGCAUGUGUAAAGACUAAGUUCUAUUUCAGUGUGUGCAUGAGAGCGCGUAAGCGCGCGCGCGCACACACACACACACACACACACACACACACACACACCCCAACCCAAAACAAAAUGAAUACAAUCCAGCACACAAAAUAACCUCAAAACACUAAAAUAAUGAGUAAAAAAAUUAAAAGAAUAAUAACUAGGAAUAUUUGCAAUCUACUUAACUAACAAAUCCUUAAUAUACAGAAUAUACCUUAAAAACUCCAAUACGUCACACUAGGAACGCAAAGGGAAGCAUUAGGAAGGAAAGCAGAUGCUGGGCUCUCACUCUGACAAUGGAACCUUAGACCAUCCCUUCCCAGUGUGCUUCAGAUCCCUAGAGAACUGGUUGGACAGAGAAGAAUCAGGCCAAGAUCACACAGAACCAGGACUGGCACUGGGAGCAGCUCAUGUAGUGGGCUUGGCCAAUGUCUAGUCAUGGAUGAGAAACUGAAUAGAUGGUUUAAUAGCUCUCACACAUGAAAUUGCAGGCUGGGACUUUCUAGGGGGAGUGUCUGGUAAAACCCCAUGCUUUGGGUAUAUGCCAAAAGGUUACAUUCUGUGAGUAGGAGUAACUGACUUGGAAACAGACCAGCUCUUUCCAGUGACAAAGUCUGGUUUUGGAUCAUCUCAGUCCCUGAAAAUGACUUGGAGUUAUUCCAGACUGAGAGUGCUGCUACCUGACUACAAAUGUCAAUUCUCUCUGGAAGAAAUUAAGAUCAUCCUAGGUCUUAAAUCAUUUCUAUAAAGUUCCUUAUGAAGCAUCUACACUCAAAACGGCCAGUUCAAAAGAAAAGUGAUCAAAUACCCCCUGCCCAAAUUUGCUUUAGAUUAUCACACAUUUAUUUUAAAACAUCAAGAUAUGUGCAACAGAAUUAGGAAAAUGAUUGUGAAUUUUGGUACAAAAUAAAAAAUUUAAAAAGAACUAAGUAGAAAUUCUAGCUGAAAAAUAUAAUCCAUAUUUAAGACUGGCCUAAUAGAAGAUUAGAUACAGCUAAGGAGAAAAUUAGUGAACUGGAAGCUAGACAAUGGAAAGUAAUCAGAAUAACUACAGAUACAGAGAACAGGGUUAGGAGGUUGCCCCCCCCCCCCCCGUCCCAAACACAAAGAUGAACACAGGCACACACAGACACACAGAUAUACCUACACAGUAAUACUAUACUUGUUAUAGAAUAUUUACAACUUGUUAAAAAUAUUUCAACAUGAAAGAUUACAGACUCAGAAUGAAGCUGAUGGAUGAACCCAAGGCCACUAGGCAGAAAUUUUAUUUCUGAACUACUUUUUUCAGCUCUUUGGCAAAUACAUCUAAAAAUAUUUUAUUUUGUUAUUUUCUGUGUAUAAAUAUAUGUUUGUUUACUACAUACAUGUGCCUUUGGAGGUGGGGAAAAAGGUGUUGGAUACUCUGGUACCAGAAUUAUAGAUGGUUGUAAGCCUCUGUGUGGUACAGGUUUCAGCCUCCAGUGCUGGAAUAAAAAAUACGCAGUUCAUGGCUUUUUAAUGAAGAUGCUGGGGAUCUGAACUCAUGCUUGUACAGCAAACACUCAACUGACUUAGCCACCCCAACCCUCAAUCUAAGAUUUAUAUAGGAAUUCAAAAAUACUGUGGCGAACCUACACAAAAGUGUGACCAUCACAAAGGCUUGGCAGUAUGUGUGCCAGUGCCAGGGCAGGUGCCCUGUUGGGAGCCGCCCUCACAUUUGCCAUUAUAAGAUGGCGCUGACAGCUGUGUUCUAAGUGGUAAACAUAAUCUG
This is a long non-coding RNA of Mus musculus (house mouse), 4861 nucleotides long. RefSeq annotates it as predicted gene, 36818. The record is from RefSeq and is a predicted model, not a curated record. NCBI's taxonomy places the organism in Eukaryota, Metazoa, Chordata, Mammalia, Rodentia, Muridae. The transcript is spliced from 6 exons.